AACGCGAAGAACCUUACCUACCCUUGACAUGUCAGGAAGCUUACAGAGAUGUAGGUGUGCCUUCGGGAACCUGAACACAGGUGCUGCAUGGCUGUCGUCAGCUCGUGUCGUGAGAUGUUGGGUUAAGUCCCGUAACGAGCGCAACCCCUGUCCUUAGUUACCAGCACGUAAUGGUGGGAACUCUAAGGAGACUGCCGGUGAUAAACCGGAGGAAGGUGGGGAUGACGUCAAGUCCUCAUGGCCCUUAUGGGUAGGGCUACACACGUGCUACAAUGGUCGGUACAGAGGGUUGCCAACCCGCGAGGGGGAGCCAAUCCCACAAAACCGAUCUCAGUCCGGAUUGAGGUCUGCAACUCGACCCCAUGAAGUUGGAAUCGCUAGUAAUCGUGGAUCAGAACGCCACGGUGAAUACGUUCCCGGGCCUUGUA
Molecule: ribosomal RNA, 428 nt
Filed under: uncultured beta proteobacterium
Lineage: Bacteria; Pseudomonadati; Pseudomonadota; Betaproteobacteria
Description: bacterial SSU rRNA
Rfam family: Bacterial small subunit ribosomal RNA
Source: RNAcentral